This 730-nucleotide long non-coding RNA is filed under the name Pan troglodytes (chimpanzee). Its description in RNAcentral is "long non-coding RNA NONPTRT006109". Lineage: Eukaryota; Metazoa; Chordata; Mammalia; Primates; Hominidae. The record is from RNAcentral.
GACAUACUGGAUCUUUCUGGGUAUCAUCAAACUUCUCCAUCCAAGAAUAAGGGACAGCAGCAUCUCUUUGACAUCCAUAGCCCAUUUCUGCUUUGCCAAUAUCACUUGUGCAUCUGGGGCCACCAAUGCAUCCUAUCCUAGCAAGUAUCAAUGGGAAUAAAGAAGAAACUUAGAAAAUGACAAAAUUCAAGAAGAGCUGAAGCUCUGGAGCUAGCUUUGGUGGAGAAAGAAUGAUGGGGGAUGUUGGACUAAGCGAGAAAUGCAUAAGAAGCUGGAAACCAGAAAGCAACGAGACCCACUAACACGGUCUACUCUGGUCAGCCCCUGGGCACAAAGGAGGGUGAAGAAAGGAUGGGAGCAGACAUGGAGGCACCAAUGGAAAGAACAUUCUGCUUUGAAGAUGAUCAUGCUUGAAGCUACAAUCUGUAUCUGACGCAUAUUUCAACUUGUUCUCCAACAUAGCUGCUGAGUUUAACACAAAGCCAUAUAGAGGUCAUUUCUAUAGAGCACAAUAAAUACCAUUAUGUGUUGGACGGAUGGAUGGAUCACUUUUCUCCCCUUGCAAGGACCCUGGUCUGAGCCCAGAUAUCAUCUCUUGGACUCUGCUAGCAGCCAUGGAAAUAGUACCCUGCUUCCACUCCCGCCUCUUCUCAUUCCAUUUUUCAAGUAUAGACACAGCUUAAGGGACAAACAAGAUUCAAAACAUGAGAUUUCCAAAAGUAAAUUUUCA